UCCGUUGUGGUCUAGUGGAUAUGAUAUUGCGCUUUCACCGCAAGGAUCGGGGUUCGAUUCCCCGCAACGGAA
This 72-nucleotide transfer RNA is filed under the name Nilaparvata lugens yeast-like symbiont. RNAcentral describes it as "tRNA-Glu (TTC) (tRNA-Glu-TTC-1-1)". It matches the Rfam family "tRNA". From Rfam's summary of the family: Transfer RNA (tRNA) molecules are approximately 80 nucleotides in length. Their secondary structure includes four short double-helical elements and three loops (D, anti-codon, and T loops). The record is from RNAcentral. Lineage: Eukaryota; Fungi; Ascomycota.